RNAcentral lists this transfer RNA (92 nucleotides) under Streptomyces sp. YIM 121038. RNAcentral describes it as "tRNA-Arg". Lineage: Bacteria; Bacillati; Actinomycetota; Actinomycetes; Kitasatosporales; Streptomycetaceae. The record is from RNAcentral.
GCGCGCCCAGGUCGUCGGGGAGCGGCUCGGCGCUGCGGGUGCCGCGCCCCGGGAGCUCGACCGGCGCCAGUUCCAGGCCCGUGGGCAGGUGC